CCUACGGGUGGCAGCAGUGAGGAAUAUUGGUCAAUGGACGAGAGUCUGAACCAGCCAAGUAGCGUGAAGGAUGACUGCCCUAUGGGUUGUAAACUUCUUUUAUAUGGGAAUAAAAUGUUCCACGUGUGGGAUUUUGUAUGUACCAUAUGAAUAAGGAUCGGCUAACUCCGUGCCAGCAGCCGCGGUAAUACGGAGGAUCCGAGCGUUAUCCGGAUUUAUUGGGUUUAAAGGGAGCGCAGGUGGAUUGUUAAGUCAGUUGUGAAAUUUUGCGGCUCAACCGUCAAAGUGCAGUUGAAACUGGCAGUCUUGAGUACAGUAGAGGUGGGCGGAAUUCGUGGUGUAGCGGUGAAAUGCUUAGAUAUCACGAAGAACUCCGAUUGCGAAGGCAGCUCACUGGACUGCAACUGACACUGAGGCUCGAAAGUGUGGGUAUCAAACAGGAUUAGAUACCCCAGUAGUC
Molecule: ribosomal RNA, 460 nt
Filed under: uncultured bacterium
Lineage: Bacteria
Description: partial 16S ribosomal RNA
Rfam family: Bacterial small subunit ribosomal RNA
Source: RNAcentral